AGCAUGGGUAUAUCCAAUAGGGCGGAUUAGCCAUAGACCUUACAGGGAAAUUUCCUUGUGGGCCGAUGACCAGGGGACCACCUGAGUCCUCCUCACGGCUGGCCAGUGGAAGUUUUUGGGGAUGUAUUUUGUACUACUGGCAG
Bufo bufo (common toad) is the source of this 143-nucleotide long non-coding RNA. RefSeq lists it as uncharacterized. Lineage: Eukaryota; Metazoa; Chordata; Amphibia; Anura; Bufonidae. The record is from RefSeq and is a predicted model, not a curated record. The transcript has 3 exons.